AUUGAACGCUGGCGGCAUGCCUUACACAUGCAAGUCGAACGGCAGCACGGGAGCAAUCCUGGUGGCGAGUGGCGAACGGGUGAGUAAUAUAUCGGAACGUGCCCAGUCGUGGGGAUAACGUAGCGAAAGCUACGCUAAUACCGCAUACGAUCUAUGGAUGAAAGCGGGGGAUCGCAAGACCUCGCGCGAUUGGAGCGGCCGAUAUCAGAUUAGGUAGUUGGUGAGGUAAAGGCUCACCAAGCCGACGAUCUGUAGCUGGUCUGAGAGGACGACCAGCCACACUGGGACUGAGACACGGCCCAGACUCCUACGGGAGGCAGCAGUGGGAAUUUUGGACAAUGGGCGCAAGACCUGAUCCAGCAAUGCCGCGUGCAGGAUGAAGG
This 383-nucleotide ribosomal RNA is filed under the name uncultured bacterium. Its description in RNAcentral is "bacterial SSU rRNA". It matches the Rfam family "Bacterial small subunit ribosomal RNA", at positions 30 to 414 of the family's 1533-position model. The record is from RNAcentral.